This is a small nuclear RNA of Peromyscus eremicus (cactus mouse), 107 nucleotides long. Lineage: Eukaryota; Metazoa; Chordata; Mammalia; Rodentia; Cricetidae. The record is from RefSeq and is a predicted model, not a curated record.
GUGCUCGCUUCCGAAGCACAUAUACUAAAAUUGGAAUGAUACAGAGAAGAUUAGCAUGGCCCCUACGCAAGGGUGACACAAAAAGACACGUUGUUAUGCUAGCAGAU